AGUGAACGCUGGCGGUAGGCCUAACACAUGCAAGUCGAACGGCAGCACAGUAAGAGCUCGCUCUUACGGGUGGCGAGUGGCGGACGGGUGAGGAAUACAUCGGAAUCUACUUUUUCGUGGGGGUGAACGUAGGGAAACUUACGCUAAUACCGCAUACGACCUACGGGUGAAAGCAGGGGAUCUUCGGACCUUGCGCGAUUGAAUGAGCCGAUGUCGGAUUAGCUAGUUGGCGGGGUAAAGGCCCACCAAGGCGACGAUCCGUAGCUGGUCUGAGAGGAUGAUCAGCCACACUGGAACUGAGACACGGUCCAGACUCCUACGGGAGGCAGCAGUGGGGAAUAUUGGACAAUGGGCGCAAGCCUGAUCCAGCCAUACCGCGUGGGUGAAGAAGGCCUUCGGGUUGUAAAGCCCUUUUGUUGGGAAAGAAAAGCAGCAGGUUAAUACCCCGCUGUUCUGACGGUACUCAAAGAAUAAGCACCGGCUAACUUCGUG
RNAcentral lists this ribosomal RNA (492 nucleotides) under uncultured bacterium. RNAcentral's name for it is "partial 16S ribosomal RNA". It matches the Rfam family "Bacterial small subunit ribosomal RNA", at positions 29 to 507 of the family's 1533-position model. The record is from RNAcentral.